AGUGAACGCUGGCGGUAGGCCUAACACAUGCAAGUCGAACGGCAGCACAGUAAGCGCUUGCUCUUACGGGUGGCGAGUGGCGGACGGGUGAGGCAUACAUCGGAAUCUACUUUUUCGUGGGGGAUAACGUAGGGACACUUACGCUACUACCGCAUACGACCUACGGGUGAAAGCAGGGGAUCUUCGGACCUUGCGCGAUUGAAUGAGCCGAUGUCGGAUUAGCUAGUUGGCGAGGUAAAGGCCCACCAAGGCGACGAUCCGUAGCUGGUCUGAGAGGAUGAUCAGCCACACUGGAACUGAGACACGGUCCAGACUCCUACGGGAGGCAGCAGUGGGGAAUAUUGGACAAUGGGCGCAAGCCUGAUCCAGCCAUACCGCGUGAGUGAAGAAGGCCUUCGGGUUGUAAAGCCCUUUUGUUGGGAAAGAAAAGCAGCAGGUUAAUACCCCGCUGUUCUGACGGUACCCAAAGAAUAAGCACCGGCUAACUUCGUG
This 492-nucleotide ribosomal RNA is filed under the name uncultured bacterium. RNAcentral describes it as "partial 16S ribosomal RNA". It matches the Rfam family "Bacterial small subunit ribosomal RNA", at positions 29 to 507 of the family's 1533-position model. The record is from RNAcentral.